Molecule: ribosomal RNA, 587 nt
Filed under: uncultured Bacteroidota bacterium
Lineage: Bacteria; Pseudomonadati; Bacteroidota
Description: bacterial SSU rRNA
Rfam family: Bacterial small subunit ribosomal RNA
Source: RNAcentral
UCUUCUGAAGACACGAGUGGCGCACGGGUGAGUAACGCGUACGCAAUCUACCUCUAUCAGGGGGAUACACACGGGAAACUGUGGAUAAUCCCGCAUACAAUUCAGACUUGGCAUCAGGUUUGGAUAAAAGUUAAGGCGGAUAGAGAUGAGCGUGCGUCUGAUUAGCUAGUUGGUGAGGUAACGGCUCACCAAGGCGACGAUCAGUAGGGGGCGUGAGAGCGUGAUCCCCCACACGGGUACUGAGACACGGACCCGACUCCUACGGGAGGCAGCAGUAAGGAAUAUUGGUCAAUGGGCGGAAGCCUGAACCAGCCAUGCCGCGUGCGGGAAGAAGGCCCUCUGGGUUGUAAACCGUUUUUGUCAGGGAAGAAUGGGCGGGAUUUAUCCUGUUAGGGACGGUACCUGAAGAAUAAGCACCGGCUAACUCCGUGCCAGCAGCCGCGGUAAUACGGAGGGUGCAAGCGUUAUCCGGAAUCACUGGGUUUAAAGGGUACGUAGGCGGUUUUAUAAAGUCAGGUGUGAAAUACCGCGGCCUAACUGCGGAACUGCACUUGAUACUGCAAAACUUGAGCAGGGUGGAGGUACAC